GAUAUUGGGGAGAUGCAGAAGGGAGGAGGUGGUGUUGAGUCAAAUGAGGAUAGGACACACGGGGCUAAAUGAUUCGUUGCAUAGGAUAGGAAAACACAAAGAUGGGAAAUGUAAACACUGUGGGGAGCGUGAAACGGUUGAACACAUUCUAAUGGUAUGCGGGAAGUAUGGAGAGCAGAGGGAUCGGUUCAGAAUGGUGCUGCACCAGGCAGAAGAGACAUUUGGGAUGGGAAAUGUUCUGCAGAUGAAAAGGGCCAAUAUUCAAAAAGGGCUAAUAAAGUUUCUCAGGGACACAGGGUUGUUGGACAGGAUAUAGGAAGAGGGUAAUUCAUUAGUAUUUAAUUCGGUUGUUAGUAUGUCAUUUAUCCAAUUUUUUGGCUCGGGUUUUAGCUACACUCUGGGUGUGUUUCACUGGUUGUCAGGAGGGAUUACUUUUAGUCUGUAACUGCCAGAUCUCGUGCUAAACCGUCGGUCCAGUAGGUGGCGGUAAUGCCCCACGGCACCGAGGGGUAAACUGCUAAUAAACAAAAAGAAGAAGAAGAUCCUUUGCUAGGCGUCCAUUCUGCUAGCAUUCCCGCCUGGAAGAGAAGAUAUGGAACUCAGAUGAGUUGACCAAGAGGCUUCGAAUGGUUGCAGCGGUGAGAAAAAAGGCCAUCACUUUUCAUUCAUCAACUGAAAACAUGUCGGUCUGUUCCCUACAUUUCCAUAAAGAAAAACCAGCAUAUGAAAUAAAUGACGCAGACCCUGACUGGGCACCAUCCUUACGCCUGGGACACACAUGUGUUCAGCCCACCAACGUGGACCGCUCUUCUAGACGAAGUAGGUGUGAGAAAUUGAGGAUGGAGGAAGACGUUGGUGAGCUACAGGAAGAGCCUUCAGCGCCCUUUAGAUGCUCCUUCUGACCUUCAUGCGCCUGCGUUUGGACCUGCCUGCACUACACAUUGCACACAUAUUCCAUGUUUCCCGUAAGACUGUGUAUUGAGUGUUCAAUAACAUGGUGCCCUUUUUACAUGCUAACUUGAGACGAGCAAUUGUUUGGACCAACAGGGAAAGACUCUAUAAAACAAUGCCUCACGAGUUUGUUGAGUCCUUCAGACGCAGAGUUGCAGUGAUUAUUGAGUUUUUUUGAAAUUUUUACAGAGAAACCAUCAAAUCUUAAGGCGCGUGCGCAAAUGUUUUCUAGUUACAAGCAUAACUACACCAUGAAAUACCUAAUUGGAAUCACACCAAAGGGGGGAAUUUGUUUGAUGUCAAGAGGUUGGGGUGGUCACACAAGUGACAAACAUACCACCUUGAACAGUGCUUUUUUUAAUAUCCUUUUGCCCGGGGACAUUGUCUUGACUGACAGAGGCUUUGAUAUUCAAGAACAUGUGGGUAUGUUAUGUGCAGAGGUCAAACUCCCUGCAUUCACAAAAGGUCGCUGUCAGUUAGCUGGUAGAGAUGUGGAGGAGACUAGGAAGAUAGCACAUUUGAGGAUCCAUGUUGAACGGGUAAUUGGUAAUCUUUGCCAGAAGUAUAAGAUCCAACAGGAACUGCACCUAUUAACUUGGUUCUGCCAUGUGACAGCGAAGAUUGCACAUUGUUGGAUAAGAUUGUUUAUGUAUGCGGUGUCCUUUCAAACCUUUGCCUAACUGUUGUGUAGUUUGUACUGUUAUACCAUUAACUAUGCUAACCGUUUCAGCCUUUCAAACUUAGCUGUUAUUGAUAUUUUGUAUUUUGUUGU
Corythoichthys intestinalis (scribbled pipefish) is the source of this 1723-nucleotide RNA transcript. RefSeq lists it as uncharacterized. Lineage: Eukaryota; Metazoa; Chordata; Actinopteri; Syngnathiformes; Syngnathidae. The transcript is spliced from 3 exons. The record is from RefSeq and is a predicted model, not a curated record.